This 379-nucleotide long non-coding RNA is filed under the name Nicotiana benthamiana. RNAcentral's name for it is "long non-coding RNA (NBEN_LNC031676)". Lineage: Eukaryota; Viridiplantae; Streptophyta; Magnoliopsida; Solanales; Solanaceae. The record is from RNAcentral.
UAUAUAUAUAUAUAUAUAUAUAAACUAAAAACUCAAUAACAAUAAUAUGUUAAUAAAUAUAUCAAUUUAAAAAUUAAAAAAUCAAUAGAUAGUCAUAAACUCAUAAUAUAUUCAUAAAUUAAAGACUAAUUGUCUAAACUCUAAAAUAAUAAUGAAAUUUUUGGCUCUAGAAAAACAGCAAAUAAAGAAGAAGACAAAACAGAGCAAAAAAAAACCUCAGUUUCUGUCAACAAAAAAACAGAAGAAAAAAAUAGAAAGAAGAAGAGAAAAAGAGAAGUAAAAAGAAGCAGAGAAACAGAACCUAUUUGGCACUGUUCUGUCGACAAAAACCAGAAGAAAAAAGAUAGAAAGAAGAAGAGAAGAAGAGAAGAAGAGAAGA